This 272-nucleotide ribosomal RNA is filed under the name uncultured bacterium. Its description in RNAcentral is "partial 16S ribosomal RNA". It matches the Rfam family "Bacterial small subunit ribosomal RNA", at positions 524 to 796 of the family's 1533-position model. The record is from RNAcentral.
UACGGAGGGUGCAAGCGUUAUCCGGAAUCACUGGGUUUAAGGGUGCGUAGGCGGCACAAUAAGUCAGAAGUGAAAGGCUGUAAGCUUAACAUGGAAUUGCUUUUGAUACUGUUGAGCUUGAAUUGGGUUGAGGUUAGCGGAAUGAGUCAUGUAGCGGUGAAAUGCAUAGAUAUGACUUAGAACACCAAUUGCGAAGGCAGCUAACUGGGCCUUGAUUGACGCUGAGGCACGAAGCGUGGGGAGCGAACAGGAUUAGAUACCCCGGGUAGUCC